This 66-nucleotide transfer RNA is filed under the name Ochthebius delgadoi. RNAcentral's name for it is "tRNA-Ile". Lineage: Eukaryota; Metazoa; Arthropoda; Insecta; Coleoptera; Hydraenidae. The record is from RNAcentral.
AAUGAAGUGUCUGAUAAAAGAAUUAUUUUGAUAGAAUAAAGAAUGUAAAAAUUUUUACCUUCGUUA